RNAcentral lists this non-coding RNA (24 nucleotides) under Arabidopsis thaliana (thale cress). The record is from RNAcentral. Lineage: Eukaryota; Viridiplantae; Streptophyta; Magnoliopsida; Brassicales; Brassicaceae.
AUGGUGAAACAAGUUCUGUUGGUC